Molecule: unclassified non-coding RNA, 107 nt
Organism: Dipodomys ordii (Ord's kangaroo rat)
Lineage: Eukaryota; Metazoa; Chordata; Mammalia; Rodentia; Heteromyidae
Product: predicted gene, 27366
Source: Ensembl
UGUGUUUUGAGGUUGGGAGGAGAAAUCUCAUGGGAAGUCAACGCAAGAAUAUUUUCUGCAUUCCUCAUUCUAUCAUGAGCACGGUACUCUUCCAUCUUUCUACAAGG